Molecule: long non-coding RNA, 2226 nt
Filed under: Mus musculus (house mouse)
Lineage: Eukaryota; Metazoa; Chordata; Mammalia; Rodentia; Muridae
Description: predicted gene 1604A, transcript variant 3 (Gm1604a)
Source: RNAcentral
UUUUUUUUUUGAGCACUCCAUAGCCUCAGUAAUAGUAUCAGGCCUUGGGAUCUGUUAAGCACUGAGUGAGUGUUCAUCCCUGCACUGGUGCUCUGGUGAGCACUGAAUGACCUGUCCUAAGUACCUUAUCAACACUUAUGUCAGUAAACCGAAUGGUUCCCAGAGGUGAAAUGGGAUCUGCUAUAGUUGAAGUGCCGUGCACACAAACACAGUAGUUGUUUGGCUCAUGACUGGUGUGACCUCCGCACAGAUGGGUCCUUCCAAAUAGCCUUGGAAGGCUCUUGUCCUAGUCUGGAGGGCCUUCCUUGGUUCCUUCUGCUGCCUGGACACACAGCUUCUCUGUUUAGCUUCUACCCAACAUAUCCUGAUGCAUUUGUUCUGUACAAAGACUAUAGCUUCCUCUAAGAGAUCCAAUAGGGCAACAGCAAUUUACCUACCUGGCUACUGUUUUCUGGUUUUGCUAAUUCAUUGUUCCGGGUUACCUCUCUGAUUUCUCCUUGCAGUGUGGUGACACAUGGAUGCACAAAUGUUCCUAUUACCUCUCUGCUCCACGCAUUUCCUACGCGGAACACUUUGUGGAGAAAGAACAAGAACAAAAGCUUGUUUUCCUGUAAGGCCUCCUGUCAAGGUUGCCUGGCUCCUCUGUUCUUCAUCUCCUGGCAAGAUGGAGAUAGAGGAGACCAAAGAUGCACCGGCAGGGAAUCGAGGGCAGGAGGUGCGCCCUGAAACACACUCCCUCCUCAGAAACUAAGUUUCUCCACCUCAGGCAGAUAUGACAAGGCUUCCUCUCUUUGAUGUCAUAUAUGUGCAUGAGCACUUUGCUUCUGUUUGAGCCAUGAGACUUUCCUCAUCUGUGAAAUGGGAGUGUAACACCCAGGUUGGGUGGGAAAAUCAAAUGAGAUAAUGUACUUGAUGCAUAGUGAGUUUUAGAGUAACAGCUGAUUGUGUCUCCCAACCUCCCUGUCCUGUCCUCCACAGAGCCUACUGGGGUUUCAACAGCCCCUGCAUAGAGGAAAGGGAUGCCAUACUCAGUAUUCCUGCUGCCGGUCCUCUCUUCCUGGUUAAACAGGAACAGUAAGAUCAAAGAUUGGAUUCUGAGGUACCAUCUCACCAGGUCAUUUCAGCCUGUGUGGGUACUUCCUUCUCCUGGCUGUCAUCGGCCCAAUGCCUGAACACCAAGCUACCUCAGGCAUCAGUGCAACCCCCAACGUGGGUAUCUGAAACCCUGAUGUUGAGGGGUGUCUCUGCAGCAUCUGGCCUCCGGCCUCAGCAGAACUCCUGGCAGAGGUGGUGGUAUAGCGUCCCAGGCAGUGUCGCAGAGCUGGGGAGGGGAAGGGCAGAGCCUGAGCUGCAGUCCUCCUUCUCCCUCCCUGGCCCUCGGUGGUUGCUAAGCAGUUUCUAUGGCAGCAGCAUCCUCAGACUCAACUUUCACCCUCAUUUAGAGCCAAUUAAGGUAAAAUAGUGAGGGGCGGGAGCGGAGUGGCAACAUAACGGGAGGCAGGGAAGCACUUGGAGGCUGUGAGCAAAGCUUUACUCUGUCAGACGCAAAGGCACAGACAUCCAGACGCAGCUGCAGUCGUCUUGCCUCGCUGCAGCCUGCUGAGCUUGCUGAGCCUGCCGAGCAGCCGCACUGAAGACCUCAGGACCCUUGCCAGCACUGGAGAUCUGAGAUCGUCAGGUGUGCCUUUCCCACUCUCUGCUCCAGCCUGGCCUGCUGCCCCAGCCCCUGACAUCCCAUCACGCCGAUUCUCUGGCUGCUUGGCACCUGUGUUUAUUUACUUUCUUACUAUCCACACUUGAUUGGAAGGAAGAAAGGGAAAGUUUUUAAAAAAUGCCCAUCGCACAGUUGCUGGAACUAUGGAAGAAGAUCGAGGUGGAACCCAUGGAGACAGAGACCGCCGAAGAGGAACUCGCCUUGGAUGUUGAGCCCACCCCAGAAGAUACCACAGAAGAAAAAUCGUCAACAGCCAACAACCACACAACAACAUCGCAACUGGAGUUUGGACCAGCAUCUAUGCUCCAUGACCCAGCCACAUGGGCAUAGUAGUUAUCUCCCUGAGGAUCGAAGGGCCAUGAUGAACCAGAGGGCAAAGGAGACACAACCUCCUCAGCUGAGACGCAGCCAGCCUCCUCAUCGUCCGCAGAGGAUGGACGAUGGCAAGACUAAGCCUGUCUCAAUGUGGGAUAUCUGAAUUUACACACACUCCAAUAAAUUGUGGAAUUACA